RNAcentral lists this ribosomal RNA (253 nucleotides) under uncultured bacterium. RNAcentral describes it as "partial 16S ribosomal RNA". It matches the Rfam family "Bacterial small subunit ribosomal RNA", at positions 524 to 776 of the family's 1533-position model. The record is from RNAcentral.
UACGAAGGGGGCUAGCGUUGUUCGGAAUCACUGGGCGUAAAGGGUGCGCAGGCGGGUUCAUAAGUCCGGGGUGAAAUACCGAGGCUCAACCUCGGAAAUGCCUUUGAUACUGUUGAUCUUGAGUACGGAAGAGGUGAGUGGAACUGCGAGUGUAGAGGUGAAAUUCGUAGAUAUUCGCAAGAACACCGGUGGCGAAGGCGGCUCACUGGUCCGGAACUGACGCUGAGGCACGACAGCGUGGGGAGCAAACAGG